This 362-nucleotide long non-coding RNA is filed under the name Setaria viridis. Its description in RNAcentral is "long non-coding RNA (SVIR_LNC010712)". The record is from RNAcentral. Lineage: Eukaryota; Viridiplantae; Streptophyta; Magnoliopsida; Poales; Poaceae.
ACAAGGUAAAUAUAAAAAGACUAACUGAGGUGGUUUUACAUUUUUAGCAUUUUUGUGUGAUUUAUGGUGUAUUUAUUGGCCUAAUCAUAAAAUAAAUCCUACAGAGAUAAAUACAAUAGUGACAUGCACAAAAUUAUUUUUCUAUGAAACUACUCAUCAUAUAGAUCCUGAGAAAGUUGGUUUUAUAUUUUCCCAUUUUUCUACCAUUUUCUACACAUUUUCAAAGUUUGCAACAUUUUAAAACUAGCACUUUUAAACAAAACUGAAAGUAUUUUGCAACCUACCCCCUGGAAAACAUGUUCUCUCAUAGAUCUACCCUUUCCUUUUCAUCCUACCCCCUGCAUUUUAUGCUCCAGCCCCUG